UGAUCGGCCACAUUGGGACUGAGACACGGCCCAAACUCCUACGGGAGGCAGCAGUAGGGAAUUCUUCGGCAAUGGACGAAAGUCUGACCGAGCAACGCCGGCGUGAGUGAAGAAGGUUUUCGGAUCGUAAAACUCUGUUGUUAGGAGAAGAACAAGGAUGAGGAGUAACUGUUCAUCCCUUGACGGUAUCUAACCAGAAAGGCCACGGCUAACUACGUGCCAGCAGCCGCGGUAAUACGUAGGUGGCAAGCGUUGUCCGGAUUUAUUGGGCGUAAAGCGAGCGCAGGCGGUUUCUUAAGUCUGAUGUGAAAGCCCCCGGCUCAACCCGGGGAGGGUCAUUGGAAACUGGGAGACUUGAGUGCAGAAGAGGAGAGUGGAAUUCCCAUGUGUAGCGGUGAAAUGCGUAGAUAUAUGGAGGAACACCAGUGGCGAAGGCGGCUCUCUGGUCUGUAACUGACGCUGAGGCUCGAAAGCGUGGGGAGCAAACAGGAUUAGAUACCCUGGUAGUCCACGCCGUAAACGAUGAGUGCUAAGUGUUGGAGGGUUUCCGCCCUUCAGUGCUGCAGCUAACGCAUUAAGCACUCCGCCUGGGGAGUACGACCGCAAGGUUGAAACUCAAAGGAAUUGACGGGGGCCCGCACAAGCGGUGGAGCAUGUGGUUUAAUUCGAAGCAACGCGAAGAACCUUACCAGGUCUUGACAUCCUUUGACCACUCUAGAGAUAGAGCUUCCCCUUCGGGGGCAAAGUGACAGGUGGUGCAUGGUUGUCGUCAGCUCCGUGUCGUGAGAUGUUGGGUUAAGUCCCGCAACGAGCGCAACCCUUAUUGUUAGUUGCCAUCAUUCAGUUGGGCACUCUUAGCAAGACUGCCGGUGACAAACCGGAGGAAGGUGGGGAUGACGUCAAAUCAUCAUGCCCCUUAUGACCUGGGCUACACACGUGCUACAAUGGGAAGUUACAACGAGUUGYGAAGUCGCGAGGCUAAGCUA
This 986-nucleotide ribosomal RNA is filed under the name Enterococcus faecium. RNAcentral's name for it is "bacterial SSU rRNA". The record is from RNAcentral. Lineage: Bacteria; Bacillati; Bacillota; Bacilli; Lactobacillales; Enterococcaceae.